Molecule: non-coding RNA, 117 nt
Filed under: Homo sapiens (human)
Lineage: Eukaryota; Metazoa; Chordata; Mammalia; Primates; Hominidae
Source: Rfam by way of RNAcentral
GCUGGGCAUGAUGGCUCAUGCCUGUAAUCCUAGCACUUUGGGAGGCUGAGGCAGGUGGAUCACCUGAGGUCAGGAGUUUGGGACUGGCCUGGCCAACAUGGUGAAACCCUGUCUCUA